Lolium perenne is the source of this 3217-nucleotide non-coding RNA. The record is from RefSeq and is a predicted model, not a curated record. NCBI's taxonomy places the organism in Eukaryota, Viridiplantae, Streptophyta, Magnoliopsida, Poales, Poaceae.
ACCGGUUGAAGCAGAAAAAAAAUAGUCUUCCCCUGCUCCUGUACUCCUCUUCUUCUCCAUCCCCCAAAUUGUCCUCCACCUCCGCCUAUGUUCUUCCUCUGCCUGCGACGCGUGCUACCUGAAGAGCGAAGGCCGUCGAGUGGGCUCCGAUCAACGGAAUCGCAAAAACGGCACCAAGCCCAUCCAGAUCGGAAGACCGGUUCUCCUUUUACACGGGUUAAUUGUACCUCAUGCCGCCGUAAUCAGGGAUUCAUGACGCUGGUAACGCCUUAAUGAUCGAUUCAUGACGCUGUAAUCUGAGAUGCUGCUUGCUUAGGGAUUGUCAUCAUCCUAUUUUCCAAAUUAUUAUUCCCGGAUUCAUCUCACCAGUGUGACCUUUAUUUAUUAUUAUUUCACAAUGGCUGCUGGACAGGUACAUUUGCUGACAUAUUCUUUUGAGAUUAUUUGUUCCUUCUCCUUUAAACUAGCUUCAUACUGUCUGCUACUACAUACUUUCCAAAAAUUAAUCAAACAUGUCCAUCUAAGUACAUCCUUCUAUGUGCACGACCUAGGCGAGGUUUUAUUAUCAGUUGUCUGCAUAAGUACAAGCCACGAAACCAACUAUUUUCCUUCUCCUUACUCUCAACAUGAACGGGAUGUGUUCUCUAUAUUUCUGCAUUUUUUUUAAGUUGUUACUACGUACACUAUGAGGAAUUGAGGAUAUUCCAGAUUUGAGUCUUGUCCUUGAUGAAGGUAUAUUUCUUGGUAAUUUUAAAACAUGGAUUCGAAUUUGAUCUACUCUGUACUAUCUUUAUGUUCCCCUGGGCAUCAUUCUGGUUUUGUAGGGAUUAGAGGGUGAAGAUCAUGCUUUUUUUGUUAAUGCUGAUUCCAUCUCACUACUUUGUUUCCUUGCACGGAGUGAUUUUCUGAUCAACACCCUGAAUAAGAAUUGUGACAAUGCUCCUCUGCUCCCCUAUGGCACUACCUUGUUCCAAUGCUGGGAUGUCUCUUAAUAUCGCUGCAGCGACCAGGUCCCAUCGGAUUAUUCGCUCUUACCAAUUGGUCUCGUGUUUGCCAUGGAGACGGAGAAGAAGGCUGUAAUGACGUCAGCGGAACAGGGUGCCCCCGGCGCGGUGAAUACUGCGACCGGCUUCUGCAUGCGGAUGUCAGGAGCUACUCCUGAAUCCUUUUUUUUUUGAGAAGGAAUAGCUGCGAUUUUAUUACGACAGGUCUGAAUCUAGUACAAUCUGGUUCCUAAUACACAACGGAACAGAAUCAUACCACACAUUACAAAGUUUAUUCUACUCCUGAAUCCUGAUUCAUGCGAGGGUGCUGCACAAGUUGGAAUAAUGCAUAUGACAGUGUCCUGCUGAGUAAGGAUGCAAUGAACCGAGCUUUCAAUUGUACAUCUACGCGGUGAUUAUUAAUGACUGGGUAGGAUAAACAAAAUGUGAUCUUGUUAUUGAUAUGAUUCCUAUGCAGUUUUUGGUUGUCAGGUCUUCCCAAUUUGAGACCAAAUGAAUUUACACACCAUGGGUGUGAUAGUUUGUUUCCGGAAAGUUCUUACGUAUCCUGUUUUAUUCACGUGCCCUUCUCUUCUAAUUGGUCAGUGCAUUCAAGAUUUUUGUACUAAUUCGCCAUUAUAAUUCCUACAUCUGUAUGGCUUCUUAUAAUAAUUUUCUCUAAAUUGUCAGCCGAACAAAUAUCCAAGUACCGCUGUAUGCAGGUGUUCCAUAGAGUACCACCCAUAUAAACCUGUUGAUAGCAAUGGUUCAGAAAAUAUUGUUUGACUUUGACAAGCUAGCUUCGUAUGGUCUUAUUGUGGAUCUUUAUUUCUGCGUUUACAAUGUUUGCUUUAAUACAGUUUUCUUUUUACCAUUUUAGUUAUCUCUGACAUCUAAACAAACUAAAUGAUAUGAAUUAUCAACAUGCUGAGAAUGCAAAGAGUUUAGGCUUAGCAGAUGUGUUCUUGCUAUUCGCCAUGCCAUUUGAUUCAUCACAGGUACAUUCUGGGCUAGCUGAUAUUUUCUAUGUGUUUUUCCCAAAAAGAAGGUUGAAUCCCCGGCCUCUACAUCAAAAUAAUGCACACAACCCGCUUUAUUAAAGUUGAAGUAAGGCAACCAUGCCAAACUCAUCGGCAGUUAAAUUACAUAACGUGAACAACUAGGGGAACAUAUAUUUCCAGAGUUAGAACUAUUUGAUAUCUUGUUCUGGUCUUUAUUAAAGUAUAUGUAAGGCAACCAUACCAAACUCAUCAGCAAUAGAUUAUAUAACACAAACAACUAGGGGAACUUAUAUUCUGAGGCUAAUGCAGUCGAGUGAUAUUUUUAGAACUAUUCGAUAUCUUGUUCUAUUCGAUAUGUAAGCCUUAUAAACCCAUCUCACUGAUAUUUGUUAACACAUUUUUUCAUUUAUUAUUAAUGUUAGAAUCUAAUAUCUUUUGUUAUUGGUGUUGUUCCAUGUUUACAUAUCUAUGUACUACAGUGACUCAAUUCCUGGUAGGAAAUUAAUACAUCAACCCACUUAGUUCACUAAUCCCAUUUAGCUAGGGCUUGCAUUUAAGUGUUAAUCUUUGUCUGGGUCCUGGACGUGAGGCAGGUGUACAAACAACAAUUUCUUUGUCAUCUUGAUUAGUGCCUAUUUCCCAGUUCAUACUUUGACUGCUUCUAAAUUUCUGUACUUAACCCUUUUAUCUAAGGUUUGGGGUAUACAACUGAUCUGCAGCUGCAUGCAUGCCGGGAUUUACUCCAUGUUAUCCAAACUGUCUUCUCCUCAUCAGGGGUAUACUAUAAAACCUCCAAUACGUGGUAUAACUUUGUACCUAGAUUCUAUCAAGUGAGAAUCCUUCAGUCUCUUUUUGACAUACAAGAGAACCAUGGAAGUGCUGAUUCAGAAAUUCUAGCAAUUGUGUAUGGCUAGCACGAUGUAUUUGUUGCCAGAAAUUUAUUAUCCAUUCUGACUCCAGCAUUGAUAUUAGUUUAUUGCAUAGAAGAAGCAAAUCUGGGACCAGCGGCUUUGAUUUACCGAGAAUUCUCCACCCUAGCCUGAGAGAUUACUUACUGCCGAUCUGAAGCUAAAAAUUGUAACUCAGAAUCUUGCUUGAAUUUCUGUGCAUUAUUAAUCUUUUCUUUUGGCUGGCUAAUCAUCCAGUUUUUAUUCUUCCCUUUGUGGAUUAUGUAAUGAUUGUUGAGUAACAGUAAAGGCUGCUUGAAUCCCAUAACAGUAAGAAAUACUCAAA